CGUUGGAUAUGGGUCCAUGGCUAGCUCACUGGGUUGUGCGGGAGAGUCAAUUGGGUCCUUGUACGUGCGACUUUGUGGGCCUGUUGGGCCGUUCGGGUGGGGCUGUUGCCCAGCCUGAACUCGCAUGCGUGUAGGCUUUGCUAUGCAUAUGAGCGUGGUGCAUGCAUGUGGCUUGUGCAUGCUUAGUACACGUCAGGCAUCUUCCUCGAACGUGGGCUGCCCAUGGGUGC
This 230-nucleotide long non-coding RNA is filed under the name Carica papaya (papaya). Its description in RNAcentral is "long non-coding RNA (CPAP_LNC013125)". Lineage: Eukaryota; Viridiplantae; Streptophyta; Magnoliopsida; Brassicales; Caricaceae. The record is from RNAcentral.